Molecule: non-coding RNA, 1576 nt
Organism: Oryctolagus cuniculus (rabbit)
Lineage: Eukaryota; Metazoa; Chordata; Mammalia; Lagomorpha; Leporidae
Source: RefSeq, a predicted model, not a curated record
CCAAGGCUAUGGAAGCCCCCUGAGUUCACUGACUCUGGUCAUAUUUAGACAAGGCCAUGGUCAAAGUGGAAGUUCUCUCCUCCCUUCAGAGAAAGGUACCUCCUUCUUUGAUGACCCGUUCUUUCCACUGGGAUCUCACUCGCAGAGAUCUUUCAUUUAUUUUUUUUCCCCCCAGAGUGUCUUGGCUUUCCAUGCCUGAAAUAGUCUCAUGGGCUUUUCAGCCGGAUCCACAUGCCUUAAGGGCUGAUUCUGAGGCCAGAGUGCUGUUAGGACAUUUGCCAUUCUAUGGGUCUGCUGUGUAUCUCACUUCCCAUGUAGGAUCAUUCUCUCCCUUUUUUAUUCUAUCAGCUAGUAUUUGCAGACACUAUUCUUGUUUCUGUGAUCCCUUUGGUUCUUAGUCCUAUCAUUAUGAUCAAUUGUGAACAGAAAUUGAUCACUGGGACUAGUGAGAUGGCAUUGGUACAUGCCACCUUGAUGGGAUUGAAUUGGAAUCCCGUGGUAUGUUUCCAACUCUACCAUUUGAGAUGAGGGCGUGUUUCAUCAGAAGAAUAAUCAUGAAGCCUGAAGCCUGGAAAGAAAGAAUAUGGCAGUCGUAAGCAGGUGGAUUCGUCACUGAAACAGCUAAGCUGAUUUGUGUUAUUUGUGCUUGGACUUCUUAUGAUGAAAACUCCUGGAAAUAGUACAAUUUCAUGAAAUACAUAGCCUAAAAGAAUGUGGAAGGAUGCCUGCAGCUACCACCCAAUCUCUCUGCACCAUUGUACAACUCAUUCCAGCGGGUGGCAAUGUCAGGUGGAGAGCUUGGUCCACCCAGGAAUCGAGACAAAGCAGUGAAACAUUAAACAGUGUUUCAGAGAAAACAGUUAUUGAAAUGAAUUAAUGAAUGAGUUUCUUUUAAUCUCUCCAGUGGAUUGAAGGUGCCAGAAUGGAGAUUAAUAUUAUCUGUACAUUAUGUGAAGGCAUAAUAAGUAGACAACUGAAGUACAAGAGUGGAGCUUCAUCCUCAAAUAAAUACUUAGCCCUCUGAAAAAUACAGUGUGUGACAGUAAUCUGUUUAUAGAGAGUAAAGAACCACAAUUACUCCUGAAUGUAUCUCUGGCAUUGGGAAGAGAUUUACCUGUAUAAUGCUACAAAAUGAGCUGCCUUCAACAUUGGGUCUAGCAUUUCUUCUCUGGGUUACCAGCUACCUGGUUGAGAUGCUGUCUCCAGAACUGUAGAGGCUUGAAAGCCCUCAAAUAACCUGAAACACCUGAAUGAAGAAACUCAGCCCCGACUACUGCCCUGCUCCCUUGCCCGCUGGAGGACUGGGUCCUUUGCCAUGUGUUCCGUCUGUGUGCAUGUGGCAGUUAGCCACCUCUAUGAACUGAUUUGUUUUCUCCUUGAAUAAACUCAUCUUGUAUGAUGUGAGUUUAUAUCCUGUCUCCUCUCCUUACAGUAACUAUAAAUGCUAGACUUGUACCAUAAAGCAAAUGCUAAAAUAAAUGAGAGCAAUGUGGGAAUCAGUAUCUUAUCAUUGCAACCUUUGUUUAUUUGCAUGUACGCUGACCAUCUGUAGACUUGUGGUCUUUGAGAAAAUGAA